AUCGCCACACAAGGUGUCUUGCCA
RNAcentral lists this non-coding RNA (24 nucleotides) under Arabidopsis thaliana (thale cress). The record is from RNAcentral. Lineage: Eukaryota; Viridiplantae; Streptophyta; Magnoliopsida; Brassicales; Brassicaceae.